AGAGUUUGAUCCUGGCUCAGGAUGAACGCUGGCGGCGUGCUUAACACAUGCAAGUCGAACGGACGCUUUGGGAAACUGAAGCGUUAGUGGCAAACGGGUGCGUAACACGUGGGUGACCUACCCCAAAGUGGGGAACAACGGACCGAAAGGUUCGCUAAUACCGCAUUAGCUCGGAGAUUCAUUUUUCCGAGUAAAGCCGCAAGGCGCUUUGGGAGGGGCCCGCGGCCCAUCAGGUAGUUGGUGAGGUAAAGGCCCACCAAGCCGAUGACGGGUAGCUGGUCUGAGAGGAUGAUCAGCCACACUGGCACUGAGAUACGGGCCAGACUCCUACGGGAGGCAGCAGUGAGGAAUAUUGCGCAAUGGGGGAAACCCUGACGCAGCGACGCCGCGUGGGCGAUGAAGGCCUUCGGGUCGUAAAGCCCUUUUGUCAGGGACGAGUGAGGACGGUACCUGGCGAAUAAGUCUCGGCUAACUACGUGCCAGCAGCCGCGGUAAUUC
RNAcentral lists this ribosomal RNA (498 nucleotides) under uncultured bacterium. Its description in RNAcentral is "bacterial SSU rRNA". It matches the Rfam family "Bacterial small subunit ribosomal RNA", at positions 8 to 526 of the family's 1533-position model. The record is from RNAcentral.